RNAcentral lists this transfer RNA (62 nucleotides) under Cordylochernes scorpioides. RNAcentral's name for it is "tRNA-Ser". It matches the Rfam family "tRNA". From Rfam's summary of the family: Transfer RNA (tRNA) molecules are approximately 80 nucleotides in length. Their secondary structure includes four short double-helical elements and three loops (D, anti-codon, and T loops). Lineage: Eukaryota; Metazoa; Arthropoda; Arachnida; Pseudoscorpiones; Chernetidae. The record is from RNAcentral.
GCAUCGGUAGUUCAGUGGUAAAAUACUCGCCUGCAACGCGGGUUCGAUUCCCGGCCGAUGCA